RNAcentral lists this ribosomal RNA (475 nucleotides) under uncultured bacterium. Its description in RNAcentral is "bacterial SSU rRNA". It matches the Rfam family "Bacterial small subunit ribosomal RNA", at positions 915 to 1391 of the family's 1533-position model. The record is from RNAcentral.
GGGGGCCCGCAAGCGGUGGAGCAUGUGGUUUAAUUCGAAGCAACGCGAAGAACCUUACCAGGUCUUGACAUCCCGCUGACCGCCUAGGAGACUAGGCUUUCCCUUCGGGGACAGCGGUGACAGGUGGUGCAUGGUUGUCGUCAGCUCGUGUCGUGAGAUGUUGGGUUAAGUCCCGCAACGAGCGCAACCCUUGAUCUUAGUUGCCAGCAUUCAGUUGGGCACUCUAAGGUGACUGCCGGUGACAAACCGGAGGAAGGUGGGGAUGACGUCAAAUCAUCAUGCCCCUUAUGACCUGGGCUACACACGUGCUACAAUGGACGGUACAAAGGGCUGCCAACCCGCGAGGGGGAGCCAAUCCCAGAAAACCGUUCUCAGUUCGGAUUGCAGGCUGCAACUCGCCUGCAUGAAGCCGGAAUCGCUAGUAAUCGUGGAUCAGCAUGCCACGGUGAAUACGUUCCCGGGCCUUGUACACACC